Molecule: long non-coding RNA, 6450 nt
Organism: Motacilla alba alba
Lineage: Eukaryota; Metazoa; Chordata; Aves; Passeriformes; Motacillidae
Exons: 2
Source: RefSeq, a predicted model, not a curated record
AAAUCCUUCUUCAGGAUGGUGUUUUCUUUCAGCCUGUAUGGUGUUGCCUCAAGAGGGAUGCAGCACAGCUGGUGAAUGAGUCCAUGUGCCUUUUCAAAAAAGGAGGGUCUUCAGCAGUUGCAUCACUGAAGAGCCCAUGUUUAAUCCCCCUUGAAAAACAACUAUAAUGUAGUUCUACAGCAAAUAAUGAAGGUGCGGGUACUUUGGCCACAACAUCAAGAAAGAAGGAAAGAAUGGGGUUCUCAUGCAAGGGUCUGACUCCACCAUCACAGCACAGAGUCUUUGGUGAUGCUCCCACUGCCCAUCUCUAGUCAAGAAAAGGGCUUGAAUUUCAGAUGCAGCACAAUCACCUGAGCAGUCUGGGAAUUGCAUCUGACAACACUGUCAAUAUGGAUGCUGCUCAUUCAUAUGAUCUGUAACAUUUGCCUCCUUACAAUAUCAUGGAUUACCCUGAGAAGUGUCUUUAACUACUGUGUGACAACUGACAGCUUCCAUUGGGAUGCGCUUCCCUGCUGCAGUGAUCUCCUCUCUUGGGCGAUAUUUUAGCUCCUGCAUCAAUUUUACAAGGUCCCAAAUAAUUUCCUUCAGUUUUGGUUGGUUUUUUUUGUUUUUUUUUUUUUCCCAAUGGAAAACAUGUCACAUGUUUAGUCCUUCAGAGUCUCUCAUUCCCUGCUUCCCUGCUGAGAAGAGAUGGAUUUUUUCUGAAGUUUUUAUUCCAGAAUUGGUGUAGAGUAGGGAACGUAGUUCUUAGCGUAUCAUAUAACAUUUGGCUAAUGCUCUGGGGCUAUUUCUGGUAACUGCAACAGGAGUUACAGUGCUAGGCUAGGUCUCUUAUAUAUUCUAAUGAAAUAAUAAUUAGUAGUCUGAUGCAGUCUACAGGAAUAACAGAGAUUUGGAUCCUUUCACCUCAUUUGGGGCACAUAUAUUAAAGAAUGAGCUCUGUGCUUAAGAGAGAUUACACGGGGAUUAUGAAAUGUAGAAACUGUAGUUGCAAAAAACAGUUUUAUUCAGCAGCAGAUUACUGUCAUUUUACUGCAUGCUUAUGAAAACAGGAGUUUCUAGCUAAACCCAGACUUCAUUAGUGUGUAAAUAUUAGCCUCUGUAGAAAUACAGCAUUUCAGUAAAAAAAAAAGUGGAAAAGCAUUUAUCAACUCAUUUGAAAUUCAUAUAAUUUACACAGUGUCCUGAGGCUGUCUGCACUCUCUUCAGAAAUACCAGAUUUAAAGAGGCCCUUGCACUUGGCCAGCUCUCCAGUGAAUAAGACAAACCAGUGAAGGUAGUGGAUAACUGAUGUAUGGAUGAUCAAAAUGUGCUAUUCCAUCCAUGAUGGGAAAAGGAAUGUGUUAAGGCAGAGGUGUAUCAUAUAUGACUUUUUUCAAAUGAACACACAAAAGAACAUAACAUGCCCAUAGACUCACAAAUGAAUGAUGACAUUUAUUCCACUUGUGUCUUGGGAAUGAUGGAUUUACCUGUUCUCUUGAUGCUGUUCGGCAAAAAAUCUGCUGCAGUCUAUUGAUUACUUUAUCUUGCACCAACUUGGGAGUAAUUAAUUUUAUGUCUGCAUAAUUAAAAUUGAGUUAAUCAGAUAGGUGUGAGCGAUCCUCCCCAAAACAGGCAACUGAAAAAAAACACUGGAAUCCCCUGAUUUAUUUUAAAAUGUGAAGAAUUUUUGGGCAAACAAAACAAAAUCCAAGCAGUAGAACAAAACACAAAAUAAAGUUUUGGACUGGGAAAAUGAAAUAAGAAGAUAAAGAAGAUAAGAUAAAUCUUCAAUGGAAUAUUGAUUUCUUUUUUGAUCUUACAAAAGGAGAUUACACAGAGUGGAGAAUAUUUAACCAAAAAGACAGCAGAAAAGAAAUGCACUUCCACUAAAGCCAGAAAGAAGCUGCAGUCACCUAGGCAGAACCAUAAAAAGCACUGAAAAUAUCUUCCCUGAUAAAAGGCGUUCUAAGAGAAGGACUGGGAAAUAUGUUUCAUAGUUUUGUGAUAAUUUAUUUUGAUAUUGGGAGUGAAAAUGUCAUUGUUUUUAGGAAUCUCCUUUUUCUUCACUUGAGUAUGUUUAUGGUAAAAUGAGUCAGAAUUUAAUAGACUUUGAAGAUAAAUCAUCUCUGGAUGUUUUCAGUAAAAUAAAUCACCUCUGGAUGUUUUCAGAGAAAAAAAAUUCCAUCUUAAUCUUAAAUUUUUCUCUAUUUUUUACUGCCUUUUGCUGAGGCUGUUUACUCUGCACAUAUUAGAGAGAAGGAUAACAAAGCAUUUUAAAUAGGCAAGAUCUGUGUGUGUCUCCUUAGAAGGUAGCUUCUUGAUCUAGCUGGUAUUUUUUUUUUUGAAUUCUGUUUUCUGACUAAGGCAGUGUUCACCAGCAGGAAGGAGCUAAAAGAUACCUAAACAACUCAGGAGCUGUCUGCCAAUCAGGGCUAAUCUUGAGGCAGAAGCAAUAAGAGGCUUCAGAAAGAAGGAAGUCUUUCUGGCAUUUAUUUCACUUCUCUGUGUUUAUCAAUUGAGAAUGACUGGACCUGAAUUGUUAAUAAAUACAAAUGGUUAUUGUGGGGUAAAAUCAAAACCUGUACAAAAGAAGGCAAAUAUAUUUCAGAAUGUCCAGCUUCUGCAUCUUUAACUUGAGAUCUCAAACUCUGUGGCUCCACAACAGGACAGGGUAGUAGUCUGUGAGUGGCAUUUGACACAUAGCUCAAUAGUCCUGAAAAUAUUUUUUUAAAUGGCAGAUAAGGGAGAGAAGGCUCUUUUUGUAGAUAACUCUGGUACUAUUGUCAUGCUUAAGGUCCUUAGCCACAUAGGAAAGGUUCUGAUUAGAGUAGAUGUAACAGGAAUCUGUUCUCAAAAUAGAAACUGGCUAUAGAAUGACAAAAUGAUUUGAUAGUGAUGCUGAAUUUCUACUCAAUCAUAAGCAAGGUUUUACGUGUAUUCUUUAUGCUAUGCAAGGCUGGAUUUUCUUUUCUCAUUUUUGCCUUGUCUUUUGGUAUGAAAUAGCUUCUCAAGAACAUAACUUGAGUGUCAUAAGUCUGCCACAUUUAUAAUUUGCUGUCAUACAUUAUGAUUUUGAAUAAGAAAUUGGUAACUUAGCUUCAGUUUACAUUACUGUCUUUGGCCAAUUUACAGACUUACAUAUGAUACCACAGACUCACAAGUCAGCCUUUACUGCAAGAGUUAAAUGACUCAGUUUGGACCUGGGAGCCAGACAGCUAAAUAUAGUACACAGCAUUAGAGCCUGGUACAGCUGGGGGAAAAAAAUCCAUUUGGGGACUUAUAAAAGGUCAGUUUGGAACAGAGGUGCCUGGGGUGCAGAAACACUUGCCCUGACAACUAACUUCAUUCUGUUCCUAUUUGAGAAGUGGCACAGCAGAUCUGCUGGGGACUGAAGAAAGUAUAGAAAAGUAAGACAGGGAGAGAGAAAAAUGGACAUAGGAAAGGUUUGAGCUAGUUAUUCCAAAUAUUAGUGCAGGAUGUAUGCUAUUCAGUAUCCACUUCUGUGGGAAAGUGGUGUUGUGGCACUGUAAAUAUCUUGUUGAACGUGCACAAACUCAGCAUUCUCUGUGCAAAUUCUUUAUUGAAACGAUGAUCAAUGUACAAGCUACAUCACAUUUCAUUUUGCCACUUCAGCAUGAACUUUUCUCUUUGUGGUUUACGGCUGUGAGCUAUAAAAUCAUAACAGUUAUUUAAAUCAAAAUACAGCAACUGCUUCUCAAAAGAACACAUUCAUAUUUGUCUUACAUUUCUUGUAAAAUCAAAAAGGAUUUCAUAAUAAAUGAAAUAUAACUUACGAGACUUUAGUGCAAGCAUUUCCUUUGCAUCUAAGAAGCUUUCAGUUGUCCCACUAAAUAUGGCAUACUUAAGAGGCCAACUCUUAAAAUAGCAUGCUGCCAAGAUAUUCCAUGAGAACUUUGAAAAUCUGACACUGUUAACACUUUCUAGAAUUAGUUAAUCUGACCAAACUGAAAGUCAGAAAGCCCUGGUUGUAUGGUACAGUACUUUUGUCAAAAGGUAACUGCAAAUCAAGGAAUUGACAUAGUAUCUACAUUAGAAUAAAACAGGCACUGAUUUAAAAAAAAAUCAACAUCUGCCUGUAUAUGCCAUUUCACAAGUCUUAUGAUUAUGCAAUAAUUUUUAAGCACACGAGUGUACUUCUGUGCCUUACCAAGUACCAACAAACCUGCACAAAAUGCUGGUCUAUGGGUUCUUUUAAUUUUUUUAUAUGACAGACAAAAAACCCCCUGAAGGAUAGGUUUCACCACAAAUAUGUUCGAAUCAGAGAACAAAAAAAGGAUCAAAUGCUGCUCAAAAAGAAGGUGUUGAGAAAAUAGUGAAUAUUAUGUUUAAGUGGUCUGAUUAGUAUGGUCUUACAUUUACCAAAAAAAGAAUAAUAAGUGUGAAAUUCAAAUCCAACACUGAUUUCUUCUGCUGCAGAAAUCUAGUCAUCUUUCAUGAAGUUUGGCAAAAUUGUUUGAAAAUGGUGUAAAUAUAAUUGUGCAAAUCUCUUUUGCUUAUUAAGCCUGGCUUGGUGUUCCUUUACUUUUAGAAUGCAAUUUCAGUUGGAUUGGAUUUUCCAGAUUCUGAGUGUUUUAAGAACCAUUAGUGUUUGGCGGUACAAUAAAUAGAAAAAUGUAACAAAAAGUGUGCAUAGUCCAAUUAUGGGAACAGAUUAAUGCCCCUGAAGUGCUUAAUGUGCAUGAAAAUAUAUAACAAUGCAAACAUUAAUAUUUUCUUAGAGCCAUUAUUAAUUUUAUGUUUGUUAGUUGUGAUUUUGGACCAUAAAACAGCCAUUUGCUAAGAAAUACUGCAAGAUACAAUUGCAUACUUUAUAAUAGCACAGCUGGAAAGUUUGGAACAGGAAAGACAGGUUUGGGUCUUGCUUCCCUUCUGUCUUCCACAAAGGAAGUUCCUGAAAGCGUACAAAAAGCUUUAGUCUUAGAAGUGUCAUAUAAUGGGUGCAUAAGACACUGAGCAGCAGACACAAAACCACCAAAAAAAUCACAUAAACCAGAACCAUCGGUUCCGUAUAAAAUCUGUAUUUUCUUCAGCUACAGUGCUGUUUAGUUUUUAUUCUGAUAAUAACACAAAGCUAAAUGUCCAGACUGGCUGGAGCAGUCCUACUUGUGAACUCUCAUCUCUGAGUGACUCCAGCUCUAGAAAAUUCAGGGUUCCCUCUGACCUUGCAACAGCAGGAGUCCAGCCCUCCAUGUAUUGCACGCAUCUAAUCCAAGUACCGGCUGCUUAUAUGUGGUUUGCAAUGUGCGUUUGUGUGUACUUCAAAUGUGCCCUUUGUGGGCAACCUCUAGGGAAAAACAUCAUUUGUAUCUUCAAGGAAGUUUACACAGUGGUACUGAAGAAAUCCAUGGGGAUUGUUUGCUCUCAAAUGUUUCUCAAUAAAUAAAUAAUAAAGAGGCUGGAGAACAGCCUCAGAGAAGCAGUCACGGUCAGAACACUAGAGAAAUACAUGGAGGGGUCUGAUCUCUACUGUAAAAACUUCAUACUUUAAAAAGAUUAAAAUUAAAAUACUGUAAUAAAUAUUUUUAUAACUUAAAAAAAGUGUAAUUUAAAAGUUAUUUUUAGGCUUUCAAGGAGAACAUCCUUGCUUAUCUGUGCAAUCUUGGUUGGGCACCAGGUAGGUAACUUUAGAAUGCAUGGGCAUUGUUUGUAAAUGCUGGACAGGCAGAAACAUCAACGUAUCUCAGGAGGUUAAGGUGAAUUGAAGGAGUUUAGUGCAAGUUGCUGAUUUUGUUUCUGCCCUUGUUCUUUUUCAUAUCAGAAGCAAAUCAAGUAACUUGAAAAACUGAUGUGAACAAUAACAGAAAUGUCCUUUGGAUUCAGACAAGAAGUUAACAGUUUGCACCAUAUUAUUGUCAAUCACACUGGUCAGACGUGAGGUUCUUUAUGGUAUUCUUUUAAACUAACUUCUGUCUUACAUUUAUAUUGCUUCACUGGAACUCAAAUAUUCCCAGCCACAUUCCUAAUGGGACUUUGCCCUUGCAUGUUUCCUUUUGGGCAUGUCCAAAUGCAUUUUGUGUAGAAACCUGCCACUGUGGUGAGCACAAAAAAAAUGAGACAUCUGAAUGCUGCUAUUUCUCACAAAUUGGUUGUAAAAUCUGAAGUCCAUUAUUAAACAUGUCUUUUUUUUAAUAACCACAGAAAGAUAAAUAUGAAACCAUCUCUGCAUCACCUAUGUAAGUCAUGGGGUAUUCCUGUAUUGCACUGCUGAUGAGGCUCUGCACUUUAACAUGUGGAAGUUGACACAAGACCUCAGUUCAUUUUCAAGGGUUCUUUUAUGUACCUGCAACACUGAUUUUGUCUGGUCUUGAUUACCCGUGCAGUUAAUAUAACUGAUUGCCUCCAACAGACACCUUAUGGAGAUGUGGCUGCUUUGUUAAAAUGUCCAGAAAGCCAUCCAUGCAUCAUGUCACCAUAGACCUAAGAGACUUCUUUUUCUACAGUAUACCU